Anolis carolinensis (green anole) is the source of this 2912-nucleotide long non-coding RNA. The record is from Ensembl. Lineage: Eukaryota; Metazoa; Chordata; Lepidosauria; Squamata; Anolidae.
AUGCAACUAAUUGGCAGCAGAUUCCUCUCUGCUGCCAACACGGUGCUUAGAGGAACUUGCGUCGCUCCCACACACACAGCAGACAGGAUUUCCAACACGAACAGAUCAGCCAAGGAUUGUAGCAGAAGAGUAGACCCAGUUCCUUUCCGUGGUUCAAAGCCAGAAGUAGACGUUUGUAGUUUCCAAGUCCAGAAGGGGGAAGACAAGCCGUGGUCAGUUCAAUCCGAGUUUUCAAAGCAGGAGAUGGCGUCCGUCAAGAAGACGACGGAAGGUCAAGGUCUCAGCACAGGAAAACACACCAGUCUUCAGGAAAGCGUCCCACACAGAUCCCAAGCGUUUGUCCAGAUUACCUUGCCCAACGCAAUUUGCAAUUGCUCCCAAGCCCCAUUUUAUGCCAGUUACAAAUCCUCAUCACUGUCAGCUGUCCUCCUUAACCCGGGCGUUUGUCCAGAUUACCUUGCCCAACGCAAUUUGCAAUUGCUCCCAAGCCCCAUUUUAUGCCAGUUACAAAUCCUCAUCACUGUCAGCUGUCCUCCUUAACCCGGGCGUUUCCUCAUCACUUUCCUCAUCAGAGCUGGAACACCUCUGACUACGCCCCACAGCAUCUCCAGCUGUGGAUCCCGUCCCAUCCCUCCAGCUAAGCCAUGGGUCUAAUCCUGAAAGUCCCCAUUCAUCUUCUAUCCUAUCAUGACCAGUGGCACCCAAUUCCUCCCUUACCCGAGUCCAAUCCAUCUCAUCCUCCUCCGAGCUAACCAGCCCCUCCUCCAUUCUCUCCGUAAACCCCUCAAAAGACUCUUCGUCAGAUGGUGCUGCAAAAAUGUCUCGCAGUCUUUUUCUUUCUCGCUCCUCGAGAGUAUCUGACUCUCGAGGAGUCUUACGCCCACGUCUGUCAGUAACAGAGCCAUGAGGCUCAAUCAUAACAGGUAGGUGGGUCCCAAACCGUUUAGGGCUUUAUAUGUGAUGGUCUGCACCUUGAAUUGGGACUGGAAAAUAAAUAUAUCUCUGACUUUUGGCUUGAAUUUGGACUCCUGGGCAACUUCCUUUUUGAUUUAGCUCAGAACAGUUUGUGUCACUUGACGUAGGACAGUGGUUCUCAACCUGGGGUCCCCAGAUGUUUUUGGCCUUCAACUCUCAGAAAUCCUAACAGCUGGUAAACUGGCUGGGAUUUCUGAGAGUUGUAGGCCAAAAACAUCUGGGCCAAAAACGAUUUAGGACCAUCUGGACUGCUCUUCUGUAUCUAUGGACACUAGUCUUAGUUUUGGGACCAGCCUGGCCUUUUCCUUGCCAGUCUCUGUGGAUACACUCUUGGGCCCUUGCCAGCUUUAAAACAGAACACUCUAAUGAGAACAACCAACACCUUAAAUUAGAUUUGGAUGCAAACUGGGAACCAGUGCAGAUGUUAGAAGAUCAGUGCUGUACAGAGCACAAACCAGAAAGAAAUCUGCCUGCCAUAUUUUGCACUAACUGUAAAACUGGAACACUUUUCAAAGGCAGCUACAGGUGAAAAGCACUGCAGUAAUCUAAGUGGACAGUGCUUACAGCAUGAAAGCAUUGAACCUCAAAUUAAUUCCAUCUUUGUCACCACCCCAAAAACUAUUUAUACUUUCUUCACACACACAGGGUGGUGGUAGAAGGAGGUUUGUAAUCUCUUGAUGGAUUUUACCUUCCAAACACUCUGAAGACAUCUAGAGCCAUUAGCACUUAUUGAAUAAAUCCUUACCAACUUUUCUGAACUGUUUAUUGUCAGAAUGUAUACAUUACUCAGCAUUUCUUGAAGUGCUAACAGAAUCAAUAUCUAAGAAUUAACCACAGGUGUCAGUUUAAUUGGGGUGUGGUAGCAGAGUGCUGAGUCUGUUGCACAUAAGUUUGUAGUCACCUGAUGAGGCUUUAAUGACAGUUGGAGGUUGGUGGAUAAAGAUAGGAGAGAGAGAGAGCAUUUGUACAUACUGUAAUACUGUGCUAGUAUUUGUAUCAUUACUGCAACUUAAGAAAGAAAAGCCUCGCAGUUGGAACAAAAAGCUUUGUUUUUGUUAUGUAUUGUUUUUGUUUCUGAGGAGACCACUUCACUGCAAUACGGUAUUUGGCUUCCUACCAGGAGUGGAGAGCCUCUUCCACUGUACAACAAGGAAUAUCAUGCUGAUUUGAACCCCUGACAUCUAUAAACUGGCAUCAAUAAGCUGGCAUCAGGUGUGGAUAGCCAGGAUUCAGAAAACGAUUGCAAAUCAGGACAUACAAAUUUGACGGUGCUUCCUGGGACCAAAAUAGAUAAAAGUGUUAUGAAUGAUAGAGUUAAUACCAUGUGACAGUUUGCCAGAAGUCCUAUAGCAUUAUAAUGAAUUACAGAGUAACUAUUUUUCCCCUCAUUUCAAGGGAGAGACACAUAAUUACUAAUAUUUCUGUUAGUAAUUGUCACAGAAAUGUCACACUUACACUCCAAUAAAAAUCAAUGAAAAUGUUGGAGAGCCCAGAGAGAUAAUAACAAUAGGGGCCUUAUCGCAUUUGGCACUGGAACCGCCACGGAUAGUGGUGAACCCGGUGGGGGACGAGGGAACCCGUCACUCCAUGUUCCCAUUACACAGCUUUAAUAAUAAUAAUAAUAAUAAUAAUAAUAAUAAUAAUAAUCUUUAUUUUUGUAUCCUGCCUCCAUCUCCCUUAGGGGACUCAGGGCGGCUCACAUGAGGCAAGGCCCAACAACACAAUUAAAAUGUAGAUUACAUAAAAAUGCAAUUCACAGUGUAAACAGAAUAAAAACAACAACAUUAUAAAAAUAAAUAGUAACAUCAGUCAGCAACCAAACAACAUGUUGUCGAAGGCUUUCAUGGCCAGAAUCACAGGGUUGUUGUAUGUCUUUUCGGGCUGUGUGGCCAUGUUCCAGAAAGCAUUCUCUCCUGAUGUUUCGCCCACAUCUAUGG